Molecule: ribosomal RNA, 224 nt
Filed under: uncultured Lactobacillus sp.
Lineage: Bacteria; Bacillati; Bacillota; Bacilli; Lactobacillales; Lactobacillaceae
Description: partial 16S ribosomal RNA
Rfam family: Bacterial small subunit ribosomal RNA
Source: RNAcentral
CGGGAUAACACCUGGAAACAAGAUGCUAAUACCGGAUAACAACAGAUGAUGCCUAUCAACUGUUUAAAAGAUGGUUCUGCUAUCACUCUUGGAUGGACCUGCGGUGCAUUAGCUAGUUGGUAGGGUAACGGCCUACCAAGGCGAUGAUGCAUAGCCGAGUUGAGAGACUGAUCGGCCACAUUGGGACUGAGACGCGGCCCAAACUCCUACGGGAGGCAGCAGCG